RNAcentral lists this ribosomal RNA (929 nucleotides) under Neofusicoccum ribis. RNAcentral's name for it is "SSU rRNA". It matches the Rfam family "Bacterial small subunit ribosomal RNA", at positions 39 to 938 of the family's 1533-position model. The record is from RNAcentral. Lineage: Eukaryota; Fungi; Ascomycota; Dothideomycetes; Botryosphaeriales; Botryosphaeriaceae.
UCCAGUGCUUGACACAUGCUAAUCGAACGUCUAAUUUAAUUAGAAAUAAUUUAAUUAGAAGUGGUGUACAGGUGAGUAAACGAUAUUAUGGCUACCUUGGAGUAAGGGACAUUAAAAUACCUUAUAUAAUACAAAAAAUAUGUAUAAAAAGAAAUUUAUUUUCGCUCCUAGAUGGAAAUUAAUAUCUCGGGCAGGUAGUAGUUAAGGUAAUGGCUUAACUAGCUUAUGUCCGUAGUCGAGACUGAGAGGUCGAUCGAUCACAUUGGGUCUGAAAAAACCCCAAUACGUAUAGUACAGCAGUGAGGAAUAUUGGUCAAUGGCCUAACGGCUGAACCAGCAACUUGGGGGAAUGGAUAUAUAUAUUAGAUAUAAUAUAUAAUACCGACUCUGUCGGAUAAAGUUCUAGAUAGAAGAAUGAUAAUGCAAUUUUCUAUCUAUAUGUCUUGCCAAAUCUUGUGCCAGCAGUCGCGGCAACACAAGGGAGACUAGUGUUAUUCAUCUUUAUUAGGUUUAAAGGGUACCUAGACGGUAUAUCAAGCCCCAAAAGGGAACGGGUAUACUAGAGUUUUAUGUGAGAGGCAAAUAUAGUACUAUUGGUGUAGAGAUAAAAUUCAUUGAUACCUCUAGGCACGGGUAACGGCGAAGGCAAUCCUCUAUGUAAAAACUGACGUUGAGGGACGAAGGCUUGGGGAGCGAAUAGGAUUAGAUACCCUAGUAGUCCAGGCAGACAAUUAUGAAUGUCAUAGAUUAGAUUAUAAUAGUAAGAAAUAAGAAAGAGAGUAAGAUAAUUACUAAAAAAAAAGGGUUAGAUGUCUUCACCUCCCUAUUUUUUUGAUCUAUAAAUGAAAGUGUAAGCAUUCCACCUCAAGAGUAAUGCGGCAACGCAGGAACUGAAAUCAUUAGACCGUUUCUGAAACCAGUAGUGGAGU